AUGGCUAUUGCCACCAUCCUUGAUCCACAUUAUAAGAUGCAUAUGUUGAAGGCUUCAUUUGGGUCAUUGUAUGGAACUGAACAUGCAUCCAUAGAAGUUGAUAAAAUAAAGAAGUUAAUGCUAGAUUUGAUGGCUGAAUAUCAAGAUGUAUCUCAGUGUGUUGACACAUCUAAUGUUGGAAACACCCCAUCUGUUCAUAAUGGUGGUGUAGAUGAAAUUUUGGGUGUGUUUGAGCAAUACUUGUCUUCACAACCUGUCACUCCUUCUCAAGUUCGCACUAAAUUGGGCAUGUACUUGGAUGAGCCCCUUAUUCGUAGAACAACAGAUUUUGACAUUAUUAAUUGA
RNAcentral lists this ribosomal RNA (345 nucleotides) under Triticum aestivum (bread wheat). RNAcentral describes it as "partial small subunit ribosomal RNA". The record is from RNAcentral. Lineage: Eukaryota; Viridiplantae; Streptophyta; Magnoliopsida; Poales; Poaceae.